Long non-coding RNA from Mya arenaria, 353 nucleotides. RefSeq lists it as uncharacterized. The record is from RefSeq and is a predicted model, not a curated record. The transcript has 3 exons. Lineage: Eukaryota; Metazoa; Mollusca; Bivalvia; Myida; Myidae.
CAUCUAACUCCUCAAACUUGUUAAAUAAAAACGAAGGUGUGUUUGACUCAGAAUCGGUGAAGGAAAAUGCAAAAGUGUCGGAGACGAAAAGUUUCACCAUUAUCGAGAGAAUGUGACCAUUGGACCAUAUUUGGACAGGACCUCAUAUCAACGGUUAUUGAGCGUAUACAGAAGUUCCAAGACCUCCUCAUCUUCAUCUUAGUGCUGAGACUUGUAAAUAAGAUUGAAGGGCACAACAGACUGUUCUCCUAUGAUUCAUGAUUGUAAUUGUUAAUUAUAGUCUGGUCCAAAUAUAACAAACAAAUAAGAUGCAACUCAACUGGAAACUACAUUGCUCAAAUAUGUUGUGUAAU